Molecule: ribosomal RNA, 447 nt
Filed under: uncultured bacterium
Lineage: Bacteria
Description: bacterial SSU rRNA
Rfam family: Bacterial small subunit ribosomal RNA
Source: RNAcentral
CCAGACUCCUACGGGAGGCAGCAGUGGGGAAUAUUGGGCAAUGGGCGCAAGCCUGACCCAGCAACGCCGCGUGAAGGAAGAAGGCUUUCGGGUUGUAAACUUCUUUUGUCAGGGACGAAGCAAGUGACGGUACCUGACGAAUAAGCCACGGCUAACUACGUGCCAGCAGCCGCGGUAAUACGUAGGUGGCAAGCGUUAUCCGGAUUUACUGGGUGUAAAGGGCGUGUAGGCGGGGGAGCAAGUCAGAUGUGAAAACCACGGGCUCAACCUGUGGCCUGCAUUUGAAACUGUUUUUCUUGAGUGCUGGAGAGGCAAUCGGAAUUCCGUGUGUAGCGGUGAAAUGCGUAGAUAUUAGGAGGAACGCCAGUGGCGAAGGCGGUCUGCUGGACAGCAACUGACGCUGGGGCGCGAAAGCGUGGGGAGCAAACAGGAUUAGAUACCCGGGUA